Molecule: ribosomal RNA, 441 nt
Filed under: uncultured bacterium
Lineage: Bacteria
Description: partial 16S ribosomal RNA
Rfam family: Bacterial small subunit ribosomal RNA
Source: RNAcentral
CCUACGGGUGGCAGCAGUCGGGAAUAUUGCGCAAUGGAGGAAACUCUGACGCCGUGACGCCGCGUGCAGGAAGAAGGUUUUCGGAUUGUAAACUGCUUUAGACAGGGAAGAAAAAAGACAGUACCUGUAGAAUAAGCUCCGGCUAACUCCGUGCCAGCAGCCGCGGUAAUACGUCGGGAGCAAGCUUUAUCCGGCUUUAUUGGGUGUAAAGGGCGUGUAGCCGGGUUGACAAGUCAGAUGUGAAAUCCUGCGGCUUAACCGCAGAACUGCAUUUGAAACUGUUGAUCUUGAGUACUGGAGAGGCAGACGGAAUUCCUAGUGUAGCGGGGAAAUGCGUAGAUAUUAGGAGGAACACCAGUGGCGAAGGCGGUCUGCUGGACAGCAACUGACGGUGAGGCGCGAAAGCGUGGGGAGCAAACAGGAUUAGAUACCCCUGUAGUC